This 717-nucleotide ribosomal RNA is filed under the name uncultured Laccaria. RNAcentral describes it as "eukaryotic LSU rRNA". The stretch from base 291 to 444 matches the Rfam family "5.8S ribosomal RNA". The record is from RNAcentral. Lineage: Eukaryota; Fungi; Basidiomycota; Agaricomycetes; Agaricales; Tricholomataceae.
GUAAAAGUCGUAACAAGGUUUCCGUAGGUGAACCUGCGGAAGGAUCAUUAUUGAAUAAAUCUGAUGUGGCUGUUAGCUGGCUUUUCGAAGCAUGUGCUCGUCCGUCAUCUUUAUCUCUCUACCUGUGCACAUUUUGUAGUCUUGGAUAUCUCUCGAGGCAACUCGGAUUUUAGGAUUGCCGUGCUGUACAAGUCGGCUUUCCUUUCAUUUCCAAGACUAUGUUUUUAUAUACACCAAAGUAUGUUAAAGAAUGUCGUCAAUAGAAACUUGUUUUCUAUAAAAAAUUAUACAACUUUCAGCAACGGAUCUCUUGGCUCUCGCAUCGAUGAAGAACGCAGCGAAAUGCGAUAAGUAAUGUGAAUUGCAGAAUUCAGUGAAUCAUCGAAUCUUUGAACGCACCUUGCGCUCCUUGGUAUUCCGAGGAGCAUGCCUGUUUGAGUGUCAUUAAAUUCUCAACCUUCCAACUUUUAUUAGCUUGGUUAGGCUUGGAUGUGGGGGUUGCGGGCUUCAUUAGUGAGGUCGGCUCUCCUUAAAUGCAUUAGCGGAACUUUUGUGGACCGUCUAUUGGUGUGAUAAUUAUCUACGCCGUGGAUGUGAAGCAGCUUUAUGAAGUCCAGCUUCUAAUCGUCCAUUGACUUGGACAAUUUUUGACAAUUUGACCUCAAAUCAGGUAGGACUACCCGCUGAACUUAAGCAUAUCAAUAAGCGGAGGAAAUC